Molecule: ribosomal RNA, 253 nt
Filed under: uncultured bacterium
Lineage: Bacteria
Description: partial 16S ribosomal RNA
Rfam family: Bacterial small subunit ribosomal RNA
Source: RNAcentral
UACGGAGGGUCCAAGCGUUAUCCGGAAUCAUUGGGCUUAAAGGGUCCGUAGGCGGUUUUGUAAGUCAGUGGUGAAAUCCCAUCGCUCAACGGUGGAACGGCCAUUGAUACUGCAAGACUUGAAUUAUUAGGAAGUAACUAGAAUAUGUAGUGUAGCGGUGAAAUGCUUAGAGAUUACAUGGAAUACCAAUUGCGAAGGCAGGUUACUGCUAAUGGAUUGACGCUGAUGGACGAAAGCGUGGGGAGCGAACAGG